RNAcentral lists this ribosomal RNA (1353 nucleotides) under Triticum aestivum (bread wheat). Its description in RNAcentral is "partial small subunit ribosomal RNA". Lineage: Eukaryota; Viridiplantae; Streptophyta; Magnoliopsida; Poales; Poaceae. The record is from RNAcentral.
AUGUGCUUAAGAAGGCAAAGGAAUCGCUCGGCCCAUUAUACUAAAAAAAGUGAUUUCCGACCGGAGUUUCACAACGUUGUCAAUCACAUGUUAACGAUAGAUGAGUUUGAAGAAGGUUGGAAGUACCUCAUAGAGAAAUACAACUUGAAAAAUCACGAUUACAUGACCAACUUGUACGAGAUACGUCACAAAUGGGCAAAGCCAUUUUUCAAGGGUGUAUUCUGUGCAAAGAUAACUAGUACCCAACGGAGUGAAAGCGCAAACCACAUGUUGAAGAACUACGUGCCUCCUGGAUGCCCAAUGCAUAUGUUUGUUAGGAAGUAUAUGAGUUUAAUCUUUGACAGGGAGUCCGAGGAAAAUUACGAGGAGAAGCGGACAGCAAUCGGGAGGCCGCUUAUGCGAGCUAAUAUGGCAACCGAAAGGCAUGCUGGGCAGAUAUACACCAGAGCCAUGUUUGAACAAUUCGGUCAUAUACUGUACGAGUGUGGUGCAUAUCAAGUGGAAGAGAUCGAAAAGGGUAAAGAGUAUGUUGCAAUACAUACAGAUGCUGCGCGGAGGGAGAAAUGGUGCAGAACUUCAUACAAGGUGUCUGUGCUUGAUGGAGGAGAAGAAUUUGACUGCGAGUGUGGUCAGUUUGCACACAUGGGGCUGCUGUGCAGCCAUUUACUGCAGGUGCUUGACUUCAUUCGUGUGACAGAAAUACCAAAGAAGCAUAUUGUGAAAAGGUGGACAAGGGAUGCAAGAGACAUACUUCCAACACACCUGGUGCAGUACCAGAAGGACAAUGCUCAAGAGAACCCAUUUAGUUUCCGGCACUACAAUAUGUACAUGCAAGCUAUGGAGCUUGUCCGGAUGGGGGACUCAAGUGUGGCAGCUUACAAACGUUUGACAGAACUGUUCAAAAAUUGUGUAUCAGAGAUGAAGCCAUUCACAGAAAUACGGGAUGGGUUGGGGUUGGAAGACAGGUUAGCUGGCAGCAUGAGGGUUGUGAACAUGGUACAAUCAGAUGGCGAUUUGUGCGAGGGUGUGGAUGGUUCACAUAUGAACUACCAAGAUGCUGGCAGCAAUUCAGCUAAUGAGUCCGGUAAUCGGAUGCAGAACUUGUUAGCACCAGCCAGGCGGAAGCAGGUGGGCAGGCCGACAACAAGCAGGGAGAAGGCCCCAUAUGAAGGUUUAAGUAAGCGCACAAGGUUUUGCGGUAUUUGCAGGCAGCAAGGCCACAAAUGCACCACCUGCCCGGAACGCGGGGAUGUACCAAAACAGCCACGGAAGCCAGCGAGAUGCAAGAACUGUGGAGUCGAAGGUCAUCGCAGGAACAACUGUCAGAAGGUUGCAGAACUGAGGCUGAGAUAA